Molecule: ribosomal RNA, 303 nt
Filed under: uncultured bacterium
Lineage: Bacteria
Description: partial 16S ribosomal RNA
Rfam family: Bacterial small subunit ribosomal RNA
Source: RNAcentral
AGCAGUCGCCACGGGAAUACGUAGGUGGCAAGCGUUGUCCGGAUUUAUUGGGCGUAAAGCGAGCGCAGGCGGUUUCUUAAGUCUGAUGUGAAAGCCCCCGGCUCAACCGGGGAGGGUCAUUGGAAACUGGGAGACUUGAGUGCAGAAGAGGAGAGUGGAAUUCCAUGUGUAGCGGUGAAAUGCGUAGAUAUAUGGAGGAACACCAGUGGCGAAGGCGGCUCUCUGGUCUGUAACUGACGCUGAGGCUCGAAAGCGUGGGGAGCGAACAGGAUUAGAUACCCCUGUAGUCCCUGUCUCUUAUAA